This 288-nucleotide long non-coding RNA is filed under the name Dromaius novaehollandiae (emu). RNAcentral's name for it is "lncRNA (ENSDNVG00000013406.1)". Lineage: Eukaryota; Metazoa; Chordata; Aves; Casuariiformes; Dromaiidae. The record is from RNAcentral.
ACUCAGAAACUACAACUUCAGCUCAAACAGCAGAUUGAGAAGCAAAGUUUAAUACACUAUGUUCCUGUGUGAUUAAGCUCUUGCAGCCUGUUCAGGAGGUGGCUGCUUAACGAGACAUGUAGCUUGGCUACUGGGCAAACACGCUGGAGCCUGUGUCUGCAAGCUUGCUGAUGCCGCCAGAUGCCUGCCGUGUCGGAGCCGCACACCCGGUGGACUCCGAUGCCCAACCCCUUCUUCUGGAGCUAGUAAUUCAGCCUCUGCUUCCUGCUUGAGUAAACUCUGCAAAAG